RNAcentral lists this ribosomal RNA (451 nucleotides) under uncultured Pseudomonadota bacterium. RNAcentral describes it as "uncultured proteobacterium partial 16S ribosomal RNA". Lineage: Bacteria; Pseudomonadati; Pseudomonadota. The record is from RNAcentral.
CACGAAGUUAGCCGGGGCUUCUUCUCCGGUUACCGUCAUUAUCUUCACCGGUGAAAGAGCUUUACAACCCUAAGGCCUUCAUCGCUCACGCGGCAUGGCUGGAUCAGGCUUGCGCCCAUUGUCCAAUAUUCCCCACUGCUGCCUCCCGUAGGAGUUUGGGCCGUGUCUCAGUCCCAAUGUGGCUGAUCAUCCUCUCAGACCAGCUAUGGAUCGUCGCCUUGGUAGGCCUUUACCCCACCAACUAGCUAAUCCAACGCGGGCUCAUCCAUCCCCGAUAAAUCUUUCCCCCGUAGGGCGUAUGCGGUAUUAAUUCCAGUUUCCCAGAGCUAUUCCGCAGGGUUGGGUAGAUUCCCACGCGUUACUCACCCGUCUGCCACUCCCCUUGCGGGGCGUUCGACUUGCAUGUGUUAAGCCUGCCGCCAGCGUUCGUUCUGAGCCAGGAUCAAACUCU